CAUUAGACACUAGCAAAUAUGAACGUUCUUGGAGGAAAAGGUCUCCAAACUAAUGACAGUAGGUUAUAUCAUGGUUGCCUAUUUUUUUUUUAUAAAAUUCUGAUUUUAAAAAUACAAUAGGUUAGCCUUGUGUAUUUAAAAUGUGUAUCGCUCAGUUUUUAUGAUAAACAUUUGGCUUCAUUUCGUCUACGAUUUCAAACUAUAUUUAACCCAGAUACCCAUCUAAAUAAAAAAAUAUAAUAAAUUUAAAUUUUGUAUGAAUGCCACGUACAUAUAGUGUAAUUGCAUGACACGUAUUUGUAGUUUUAAAACGUGUGUAUGUCUCAUUUCAGGCACUCGGAUUGGAUAUCAGACAAGAUGUGACUGACACUGAUGAAGAUUAUGCCCCAGCGCUUGACUCAGUAGAUUUGGAAAGCUCACCCUUUUUUCCUGAUCCGUCUCUUCCCAGGGGAGAUCCAAAGAAAUCACCAGAAAUAUCCCGUACCAUUAAUAAAAUUCGACGUGCAAAUAAAUGCCCAGAAGUGCUUCCAGCGGAGCUUUAUCCAGUGACCACUCCACAAUCAGAAGAAUAUAGUGAUAUUGAAGAAGAUGCUCCACAUUAUGAACGCCAAGCAAGCCCGUUGUUCUUUCAGAGUAGACCUUCGAAAAGCAAAAAAGCAGAAACAGGCUCUUUCUCUGCGAAACGAGAGAAGAACAAUACUAAUAUGAAAAAUGUGAGAUAUCUGCUAGAAACACCAGCUGCAGAAGACCUUUUAUCGAUGGAUUAUGACAGCGAUGCUGUUCUUGAAGCUAUUUCAAGCUACACACAAGCCACCGGAAAUGUGGAAUUUGACGUGAAUGAUUUAAUAGGCAUUAUAGCUGGAGAAGACCCUAAGCCGAGGAGAGCAGCAGUUCACAAUGACUAAAGAAGAUAGGAGAGAUUCGUAUUGAUUGCAAACCUUUUGAAUCUUGUAAUAGCGAUACAGCAAGUAUAUUUGACGUCUCAGUUUGCAUUCGUAAAUUACAACAUUAUGUAUUUUUACGAUGACCUUAGUCUGAUUUAAUGCAAUCAUGUCAUUAGAGAUAUCUUUAUGAGUAUACCGGUUGCGGCAUUUCCUAUAUUUUCCUGUAGACACCUAUAUGUGCAUGUAAACUAACCGUGUUGAUUUUAAAAUGAACUCAGAUUGUAUAUUCAUUUACGCUGUAAUUAUUCCAUUUGAAUUUUACUAGUAUUAUAAUCAGAUGUGAUCUUCCAAAUUGACACGGGGUUUGUUUUUGACAAAUGACAUUCCAUAUACAUAAGACUGGCAAUCAAUAUAUUAUCGCUAAGGAAUGAAUUCCUCUAUCAACAAUAAUUAUACAAUUUAAUUUUAACCAUAAUUUGUGACGGAAGAAGCUUUCUUAAUUGCUAGACUUUUGUUGAUACAUUCUUCAAGAGAAUCACUGUAAUGGUAUUGCUUGUACUGAAAGACUGCAUUAAGAGGGCUUUAAUUGUGAAUGAUGACUCCAAUGGUGAGUGAUGACUCCAAUGGUGAAUGGCAACUCCAAUGGUGAAG
Mizuhopecten yessoensis (Yesso scallop) is the source of this 1535-nucleotide long non-coding RNA. RefSeq lists it as uncharacterized. The transcript has 6 exons. The record is from RefSeq and is a predicted model, not a curated record. NCBI's taxonomy places the organism in Eukaryota, Metazoa, Mollusca, Bivalvia, Pectinida, Pectinidae.